GGCCGAGCUGGUGGACACGCCGGGGCAGGACCACGUGUUCCAUCUCCUGCAACCGGGGACUGAGGCGGCCGCCGGGAUGUUGGACCGCGUCGCGGAUUUCAUUUCUCGUGCUUGACCUCACCUGCUCCCCGUUGAAGUGGAAUUGUGGUCGGUUCCUGUCGUCGUGCGUCAGGGCGAGUAAUAAAUGGGCAGCAAUCUCCGCCGGGCGUCAGUCCAACUAUUGGUGGACUGGUCGAGCUCGAGCCGUAGAUUUGCCUCAUGAGCCAUGAAAUCCCGUUGUUUCCAACCUCCUAUCUUCACGGGAAAGGGAAAAGGCCCGCCUAGCACAAGCCGACGUCUCAACACGCCCCGACCGCCUCGCCUCGCCUCCUCAUCGCUGGUCACCCUCACCGUCGAUCGUCGCCUUCGUCGCCCUCACCUAUGUCGCCUUCGUGCGUUUCUAACCUCUGUGGAUGCAGCAACGUGCUUUCAUGGUUGCAACCCUUGUAAAAAACAAUACGGUUGGAACAAAACAGAACGAUAAAUGUAGCAAAUUUGUAUAAUGGUUUUAAUAUUUUUCCAUCAUGGUUGCAACUN
This 576-nucleotide long non-coding RNA is filed under the name Hordeum vulgare. RNAcentral's name for it is "long non-coding RNA (HVUL_LNC017989)". Lineage: Eukaryota; Viridiplantae; Streptophyta; Magnoliopsida; Poales; Poaceae. The record is from RNAcentral.